Salmo salar (Atlantic salmon) is the source of this 655-nucleotide long non-coding RNA. RefSeq lists it as uncharacterized. Lineage: Eukaryota; Metazoa; Chordata; Actinopteri; Salmoniformes; Salmonidae. The record is from RefSeq and is a predicted model, not a curated record.
ACAUGGUGGAGAGAACAGAAUGAAACCUGGGAUUAGAAAAUAUGUCUGUGAUCUCACACUGGACCUAAACACAGUAAACAGACGCCUCUCUCUGUCUGAGGAGAACAGAAAGGUGACAUGUAGGACAGAGAAGCAGCCGUAUCCUGAUCACCCAGAGAGAUUUGAGGACUGUGAACAGGUGCUGUGUAGAGAGGGUCUGACUGGGCGCUGUUACUGGGAGGUAGAGUGGAGUGGGGGGCUGUUAUAGGAGUGACAUAUAAAGGAAUCAGCAGGAGAGGAAGGGUUAAUGACUGUUGGCUUGGACACAAUGACAAGUCCUGGUGUCUGUUCUGCUCUGACAACAGAUACAGAGCCUGGCACAAUAAUAAUCCCACUACCAUAGAUGUCCCCUCCUCCAGCUCCCACAGAGUAGGAGUGUAUCUGGACUGGUCAGCCGGCACUUUGUCCUUCUAUAGAGCCUCCUCUGACACACUGACCCACCUGAUCACAUUCACCUCCACAUUCACUGAGCCCCUCUAUCCAGGAUUUAGGGUUGAUUAUGUUGGCUCUUCAGUGUCCCUGAAAUAAUAACUGGACACAUACACACACACACACACACACACACACACACACACACACACACACACACACACACACACACACACACACACACACA